AAUUUUUAAAUGAUGCUUUGGGAUGAUUUAUUUACAAAGGCGUGAAAGUCCAUGCUGGAUGCUAGAUCUUAAGUAACAAACAUGCAGAGAGCAUGGGAUAUUUAGUCUGUUAAAGGGAGAAGUCUCACUAAAUAAGUUGUUUCACACUGAAGAGACUCAGGAAACACAGCCACAGGUGCCUCUUGUUGGAGAACCUUAACACAGCUGUAGUGUUAAGGUGAUCAAACGGAGAGAUAUUUAUAUAAAAUAAGCACAGCCCAAAUGCUCCCCCAUCUGCCAGAAUAUCUGUGUGACUCUGUUAGUGUUGAUUUGUGAUAUUUUUCAAGUUUAUGUUUUCCAGAAGGAUAAUCAAACCAUGAUUUCAUAUCACACUGUUCACUGGUUCAACUAACAUGUUUCAUUAGUAAGUGAACCUCGCUAAUAAGUUUCUCCUAACUCGGAAAAGGGUUUGAAAUUUUGUGAAUCGAGGCUCUAAAUGAGACUCCUUUGCCUGCCUCUGCGGAAUCCAUGGCAAAAUAAGAUCACAGCUGUUGCAGGGUUUCCAUGUUUAAAUAAUGCAGAUCUCUAUUAAUCGGAAGUGUGAGAAAUGUUUAAAAAUGUAUCUUAGCCUAAUUCAGGAAAUCAUUGCAGCAUCUGACCAAUUUUAAGCUUAGCUAAUUGCAUGCUGAAGGCUUUUGAUUUCCAAGGUUAUGUAUGUGGAGAAAUAACAACUAAAAUAGUCAUACUUAGAAACCACCUGUGCCUUUUUGGAUAAUAUUAAGCCCAGUUAACAUUAGUAAAAUGAACGCUGACUAAUUCUUGAAUGGAAGACUGUUGGCUGAAAUAUUGCACAUAGUCAUGCACGCCUGUAGAGUUAAUGAAGCUUUAGGAAUGUUGUUAGGGAAGUGCAAAUGCCUUUGUUGCUUCCAUCAAUAGCGUUGGUGCCCCCUGGGUCUGCAUCAGUUCCAUAUUUACAGCAGAGCACUGGCAGGUAUUCCUGCAUAGGUGAAGUGCCCCAUAGUCGUUACAGAGAACUGAACAUUUGUGAUUUUGCCUCUGAGUUAAAUUUCUUUAAGGAUCAUCAGAAUGCACUGUAUGUCAAAAUGUAUGAGUGAAGAACUGCCCCUUAAGUUACUAAGAGGUCUUUAAAAACCUGAAUGCUUAAAACAAACAUUCACUUUUAUAUAUAAGUCCAUGGUAAUAAGGUCAGUACUUCAGAUUGCACACUCUCAGAGACCUCCGUCCCUUGAAGAAAUGUAGCUGUGAAGAAGAACUUGUGCUGAAAUCAAGUCGCUUGGAGUGCAGAGUGCCAUUCAUCAGAGCUGUGCUUUUCUUGGAAGUUGGCUUCACGAGUUGUCUGCUUGCCCUGCGUGUUGUUUGGUAAUUCGGUCAUAAGAAUGUCAGACCACUCUACUGUGGCAGUAGAGCUGCAUUGGUUGGAAAUUACAGGUAUAAAACUGGAGGUUAACUUGACCAGGGUGUUACUCUGUGCAGCAGUCAGUUGGUAAGCAAGGUUUACAUCCAGAUGAGGUGAUGCUACGCACUGCACAAAGACUUGCUCAGUUCGUUUUUAUUGUGGAGCUGGUCCUUGGCUUCUCUCAAGGUUACGAGAAGAUUCUCAUCUCCUCUACAGCUGAUGCUUUUGUUCAGCCUGAGAGUUAACACUCGUUUCUUUUCUCAAAAUGAAAUUUACAGCAGCCUUCUUUGGCCACAGAAGUGUAAAAUUUGAGCAUUUUAUAUAUAGAGAGAGAGAGAACAGAAAACCUAAAUACUUAGUGUCAUUAACAAUAUCAAAAUGUAUGGCCACAUUCAGCCCCAGUGCAGGAACUAAUUUACAAAUAUUUCAUCAUUAAGCACUUUCACCCCUUCAACAGCACAAUCUAAUGUGAAUAAAGUAUUUCCAUCUUCACCAAGUUCUUUUUCUACUUUGCUUCUGAGCUGCUGGGGUCAGCACAGAGUGGCCAUUCCCUCCGGGCAUGGUUCCACACUUUCUUGUUCCUGUAGCCCUGCUGAUCCGUCAGACAAUCUGCAGAAGUGAUAAUUUAUAAACAGAGUGACAGGAAUGGGGCACUGAAGUUCACCAAGCACAGGAUGCUGAGUUUCAGCAGUUUAUCAGCAAGUCAAGGUUUUUACUCCUCUAGGUUAUACGAUCCCAUUGCCUGUUGAGCUCAUUUUGUCUCUCUACUUACGACACGUUCAUAAAAGCAGGCUGAGGUACUAAAUGCAGAUGUUGUAAGGUUUUAAGCACAUGUAUUGCAGUAAAACAUUUAAAACAAAAAACUAAAAACAAGGGCAAAUAAAUAAUAAAAAUGCCCCCCCCCAAACAAACAAACAAACAAAAAACCAACAACAAUAACAAAAAAGAGGAACAGUUAUCAGGGGGAAUAAGAAUUGAGCAAAACACAUUCUCCAAGUAAUGUCACACUUUCUGUUACGAUUUGUUUAAAAAUGAGUGUCUAUUUGAGUCCACAUUAAACUUAAUGUGCUCUAGUUGGGUUUUACAUCCCGUGGUGUGCUGUGUUGUUCAAAGCAUGAGGAAUAUGGAACAGAUGGCUUGGGAAGGCUGUCAAAAAACCUGCUGGGCCUUUUCUGGUGUUACCUUCAAGCAAGAGAAGGGAUGAGUAAAUGUGCUGUACUUUUUGGCCUUAGCACAGCAUUCAGUAAGCUGAGUCUUCUGAAGGGAUGCUUACUCAAUCACAGCAACAGAUAUCAAAACAAAUAUCUAUUUGGGAGCAAUGAAACAAUAAAAAAUAUUUUAAAUUGAGAUGCGUAAUGGAGAGAAGAAAAGGGAAAAUUGCAGCGGAGGAGUAGGGAAGCGCAGACGUUUGCUUGAAGGGGCUCAUCACAGGGCUGAAUAAUGCAGAGAAAUAAAUCUAUUCAGGAGUCUCACCAUCCAUCUUUAGAUGUUUUAAACGCAGUGUGGUAGAAGCUAAUCUUGCAGUCUUUAAUUUUGAUAUAUUUUCUAAAAAUUACGAUUUCAGAGGUCUCCCUGUGGAAAUAGCAGCUGCGCCCUCAAGACCUGCUUUGUUUUUUGGCUUCAAACACCCCGAGCACGUAGGAUCUUCUGGCUAAAAUCAAACUGUGCAUUUUGCAGACAGAAUCUUAGGCAUGAAAAUCAGACCCCAGUGUAUAAACCAGAGUUUACAAAAUACUGUGUAUUUUUAGGAGUUAUUUGAUAAACUGAGAAUGUAUGCACGCACGUUUUUGGUGUUAAAAAUAGUACGCAAUACAGACUCCUCGUGUGCUUGUCCACUGAGAUUUGUUUUUUGGAAUCUCAUUCCCACAGCUGCAUACUGUCUUUUUUAACUCUGAUGGAGAUAAGCAGACGUUGUAUUUCAAGACAAAUUGACUAAAAAUUCUACAGUCAGUUGUAUUAAAAAAAUGCAUUCUGCCUUUGGGUUCCUUGCUUACAGAAAUGGUUUCCUUACAGAACCUCAGAUUAGUAAAUAACAGUUAGAAAUGUGAAUGUUGCAGAGUAAGGAAAACAGUGUUCUUUGCUGGUUGCUGAAUUUCUCUUAACUAUAAAAAUGUCCAUCCAAAAUGGUCACUGAGAGCUGCAUUUCUUGUGUUACAAAGUGAGUGUCACGGUUUGCAACUUAUCUGCUCUUGAUGGAUUCCUUUACAUAUUAUCAUUGUUCAGUCAUCUGCUAAAGCUGAAGUGUGCAGCAGUAUUUUAUUUUCCAUGGCUCUGCAAUGCAUUUAUCUCAGAGCUUUGGGACAUGAAUACCUGUUGAAGAUGGUUCUACAACACCUAAGUUUGUCUGUCAUUUGGAAAAUACACCUUUAUCCUGUUUCCCCUGAGUCUGUCUUGGUGCUGGUUUUUCGUUUCCAUGUUUUAGGAAAAUCCUAUAGAUGUUGUUAUGUUACCACUCUGAAAAGGAAAAAAAAAGAGGGGAAGAAACAUGUAAAAUACCGUUGAACUCAUUUUGCUUGUAGUUUUGAAUAGCUUUUCAAUUAGAAUGAUUUUCCCAGAUUUUUUAUAGGCUUGCCCAAUCCAGCUGUAUAUUUUAUAUGCUAAUCUGAGUUCUAUUUUUGUUCCCCUUGGGAUUUAAAGUGAUUAUAAUUGUUGCUCUUCAAAAGCCAAACAGAUGAUGAUUGCUGCUUCAGGAAUAUACCAAAAGAAACUGGCUUUCAUUAAACCUGCUCAUCCACUUCAUAAUUAUCUCCAUUUGAUCUCACUAAGAAGCAGGAAAAUGGCAACUACAGUUCACUGAAGCCAGCUCGGUUAUUUAAACAUCACUUUACUGAGAUAACAGGAGGUGUUAAAGCAGGGGGCCUUUUUCCUUUCAGGCACUAAGACAUAGCCAGCACUACAAUAGCGUUGCCAACUGGGAGGCCAUACCCUUCCAGUCAGCUUGAAAUGCAGUACCAGAGGCCAGAGAUGGCAGGAGAUACCAUCUCUGGAGGGUGGCUGGGGCCACUCCUGGAGGACACACAUAAAGCAGGCUGACAGUGAUGUUGCACGGCAUCUGCUUGUCUGACCCCUCUGCAAGAAACGAGAAAUCAGACAUUUCCAAGCACCAGAAAAAUCAUAGACCUGUGGACUUAUCAGAGAUGCUAGAAUCCAAAGAGCAGAACUUGGUCAACAUUCCCGUGUUCUCUGGAGAUGAAGGAUGGGCUGACUCUCCUUUCCUUCUUUAUUAGCUCAAGAAUGACAUUCCCGGAAAAAAAAAAAUCAGUUCUGAAGAAUGUAGAAGAUGGAUUCCAAAUCAAGCCUACACUUCUCCACCUUCUCAGUAUGAAUCUCUCCCACCCAAAGCAAACCCAGGGGAGCAGCUUCUGAUUCCUCUUUCAGGUGCACAAAGGCAGCCUCUCCCUAAAAUACCACAUUCUAACGUACUAUCUUCACUUGUUGUUAAUAAACCUGCUCCAUCCAGGUGUACUUUUAAAUACUGACAUGCACUUAAGAGGCACACUACAUUGAAGCUAUGGUAAAACUCUACCCAAGUACAAGCUAAAAAUAGUUCAUCUCUCUUUCUUCCAUAUAAAACAUGGAAAACUGAGUUAAUCUGAGUAGAACAUGCUCAGUGAGAAUAAAAGUGUGUUACACGUUACCCAAUGCAUUUGCAUUACGUGCAAAUAUGCAGUGUGUAUAUUUAUUACAUAGUAAUGUGCAUACAUACGCAAGUGCAUAGUUAUUACAUAGUAAGUUUCUCCAAUCCAAGCCACCAAUUCAAAAUAAGAAAAUCCAGCAAAGUUUUAGCCUACUCAAAGAUGUUAAAGAAACAGAGGGAUCUGAAUACAUCCCAAGAAAGACAGAAAGAAUUAACAAGGUCCCACAUGAAGACAAGUAGAUAUACAUAUCUGGGAGGUAAAUGGUGAAAAGAUGGAUAUAAUAUUCAUCAUUAAUUAUUAUAUUCUUGUUCUGAAUGCUCCAUGGCAGUAAUAGGAAUAUUUUACAAGGAUUAAGGAGGAUCUUUAGCCUGGAAGUAUUAAAUAAUUGUGGAGUGACCUAGCAUUUAUCCUUUGUCUUAGAAUAGCAUCUAGGAGCAAUGAUUAAGUGCUAACUGGAAUAAAUACAGCUAGCUCUUUUCAACCUCAAGAUUUGCCACAUAGGGGGAAAAAAAAAGAGAAAAAAUGGCUGGAUGAAAAUAUGAAGUAAGCCUUUUUACAGGACUUGUAGUAAUUAUAUCUUCGGUAUUUUUCUUCUUUGACCAUCUUUUAUGCACACUGGAAACAAGGAUCUCAUCUCAUGUCCUUCAGAAGAACGUGUUUUCAAAAUGUGAAGAAUCCAGCCAUCCCAUAAUUCUGUCCCUCUGUUACCUGUCGAUUCAAGCUCUGUAUGGUUAAUGUAACUUGAAGGAGGAAGGCAGGUCUUAGGGCUGGAAUACAAAUUUGAGUAUUAAGAAAGAUACUUCAGAUUUACUUUUAACAUGAUGGGAAUUCAUUUUCUGAUUUGUGCUAAAUAUCACCUGGCUUUAGGUCUCAUAAUUUAUCUCACGUAUCAUGUCUAGGGUGUAGCAAAUGACCCAUCUAUGACCGUGGAAACAUUUGGAAAGAAAAAUGAGUGGAGAUUUUGUUCUAUCGAGACAGCACUGAAGCACACCCGUUCCUAUCAAUAGGAUCUAUUUCUAGACCAUUAAAAUCAAAUCCAUCCCAUCUAAAAUGUAGAAUUUUGGCCCCUCAUAGAGGUGGAGUUUGGUAGAUAUGGACAUUUAUGCUACGGAUCCAGUAGUUUCAGCUCUUAAGUUUUCAUCAGUGAGUUACUAUGUCACAACCUCUGAAUGACCAAAUGGGAAUUGUGAAAAGGUGCCUAACAUUUCAGAAUGCAACUGGUCUGCAGCUGGCAGGCAUUUCCUCAGUUCAGACAAAAAAUAAAGUCACUAAAAAUCAACAGCUGAAUGAAUAUUCAAAGGCAUUUUGAAGAUGGAGGUGUAGGAAAUAAAAAUAACCAAUUUUUGAAUUAAUCUAAAAAAAAAUGGAAUGUAAAUAGUUUAUUUCACUGGACUUGCAUUUUCUUGGUUUCAGUGUCUAUUGACUAUGAGGAAAAAUGUGUAGAAGACUUAAAUAGUACUUCAUAGCUUUAUUCUCAGGCUGUCAAAUGUAUUCCUUGGGAUUGGGAUUUUUCAAGGGGUUUCAAUUCAUUCAAUUGAUUAUAAAAGCCAAAUAUAUAUAUAUAUAUAUAUAUAUAUAUAUAUAUAUAUAUAUAUAUUCAUUUUGGUGGUGGAGGAUGGUGGUGUAAACCCCUAAGGAACUUCAGGAUAUCGAAGAAUCUGUCCUAGCUCUCUGAGAACAAAUGAAGUGUAUAUAUAAGUUUGAACCUGCGAUCCAGUACGUAAUUACCUUACAGAAUAUUUCCCAGUUGUUAAUCCAAAGUUUACAUGCUGUGAAUUAAGCCAUUUUCCUUUUUUUUUUUUUUUCCCAACGGAUGGUGCACUUGAAGACUCUUUGAUCACAGUCUGUCAAUAGUGAUACAGUUUAAUAGAUCCUUUGCCACUGUUCCAAUUUUAAACACAUUCUCUCUUAAAAUAUCUCUAUAUCCAUGUUUUGUACAACCUUGUGGUCUCUCCCCACUUUUCUUAAAACCUGGACUGAUUGGGUACAGUGACAGUGUUCACUUUUGGACUCAUCAAUGCCAAACAGAAAAUGCAUUCACGUAUGUCUUUUCAAAUCACAUCUCAGGGUGAAAUCUCUUUUCUAUUUUUUUCAGCACCACAUUCCCAAGACUCUGUGUGGUGAACCUGUGUCGCUCAUCCUCUUCCUCAGUGCUGUUGUAAUUCUCUGUUUAUUUUUUUCACAUUUUAUUAUGAUCUUUCUUUCCUAAUAAUUAAAGCCACUUGCCACUUAUCUUUAUUUGGCUUUAUCUUGCUGGUCUGUCUCUCUGUUUUGAAGUGACCAUUUAGUAUUCAGCACUUAAGCACCAAAUGUUAAGCACCAAACCUCUGCUUUUGCUGCAGUCCAUUUUUGUACCCACUGUGUUCCAUCCUCUGAAUCACAGACAGAAGUGCUCAAUUUGCCGUGAAUGAUAUUCUCCAAUAAAAAGUUAUUUGAUGUGGCCAUCCAUUUUUCCCAGUGAGCUAUAGCAAAAUAUCCUCUGGAUAUAUUUUUGUAUACUGGUUUUAUUGUAAUUUAAUUAAUACUAUCUUUUCUUGUUAUCCCAUGAGAAUGCAGUGUGGGUUGGCAACUAAAAGCUUUAAAAUCAACAUAUACUACUUCUCUGCCUUUUGCAAUGUGCUAUGCUUGUAGAAGGAAAUAGGUUUUGUCUGACAAUUUGUUCCUGGCACAUGAAGUGUUUCUUAUUGCUAUAAUUUUAUGAUCUUCUUUUGAAUUAAUAAACAGCAUGUUUUGGCAUGUUGAAAUAAGUAUGAGUGGUGUCCCUUUUCCUGCAUCUCUUUUUACAAAAGGAAACAGUAUAGUACCUUUGAAUCCAUUCUGAAGUGUGUAUGCAUAUUAGCUAAUGAGCAGAUACAUGGAAGAAUUUUUAGCAAUGGGUAAAUAUCCUUGUCAACAUCAGAAUAAUUGGCUGUAAUCUUAUCACAUAUUUUAUUCCAAUAAAUCAUAUUACUGCUCUGUUCAUUGCUGUUAGUUGGAAUAACCUUUUAGAUAUUUGCAGCUACAUGAUCAUUUACGGUCUGGAUUUUGCUGAUGACUCAUAUCCAGCAGAAUCACAGUAGUACAGAGCUCUGCAGAAUACUUCUGAUGCAAGAAACUGAGUUGUAUAAGCAGAAGAAACAAAACCUCCAUCAUUUAAAGGCGAGAAAACUAGGCCAGCACCAGUGAAAGACAGUUAAGUCAUCCACAAUGAGUAAUUCUGACAUUAAAGAGAAGAUAAUGUGGUUAUUUAGAAUAUUUUCAGCCUGGUCCAUAAAAGUAAAAUCUUGAUGAUCACUGUGAGAUGCUCUUUGGAAGUGCAAUUGGGUGGGUCUUCAUAACUAAGGAGUGCAAGGAGUAAUCAGAAAAGACUAAUUCUACUACAUUUGAAUAUUGCGUCACUGCCUCGUAAACCAACUGUAAUACAGGUGAUUUAUAUAAUAUCUGUAAAAGAAAAGUGUAAAGAACUGGGUGUAGUUUUGUCACAAGCAUAAAGGAGUACAUAUGAAGAAAGAGGCUUCUAAUGUAACAUUAAGAAAAAGUGUUUCUAAUAUCCCUUCUCAUGCAUGUAUAACUACUCAUCUACUCUCCACCACCAAGCCAUUAGAGUAGGUGUGCGUUAAAAAAAAGAUGAACUCCGUUCGGAGGAGGAGGGAAAUGUGCAAUCGUCAUAUAUCUUCAGAACCCAUACGUGUUAGGGCACUCUGUGUGCUGAAACAUAAUUGCCAGUUGGUUUCUUAUUAGCUAAACUGAGGGAAAAAAUGGAAAAAAAACUAAAGCUGAUAUUUAAUAUGAUACGGAAUGUAUUUCAGAAUUGUGCUACAAGGUCAAGAAAAAUCUGUCUGCUAUGCAUGUGAUCUGAUUAUCUGAAGGUCAUCUAAUUACAUAUUCUAGAAACACUCUGGAAUUUAUCAGGACUUAUUUGAUAAAAUAAUGGUAGCAAAAUCCUCCCCUUUAUUCCUCUGUGCUGUCAGCAGGAAAUAUGAUCGCAGACUAAAAAGCUCUAUUUGUGUAAUAUGUGUUUUUCCCUCAACAAAUGAAAACAUAUGCAUGCUUCCAAAAAAGCAAAAUCUAUCUCUUAAGUCAAUAUUGCUGUACCUUAGUACCGUAACAGGAUAUACUAAUUACUGUAAGUUUAUAACUAUGCCUCCUUUUCCUGGAGAAACUUGUUACGGUAGAAGACUAAUCUAACUGAAUUGACAGCAUUUGAGAUGAUUCACAGGAGAAUUUAAAAGCACUUGUUAUUUUUGGAUAACAAACAGCAUUAAAAAUAUUGAUCGCCUUUUUGCUUUCAAUUGCCUCUUUUACACAAGGUUAUUUCUCCUCACAUCUGCGCAGCACUUCGCGGGCAGGGCUGUGACUUCGGGCCCUGGUUACAUGUUCCCACAAAUUGGCAGAGGCAGGGUGACAUUGCUAUAGCUGAGUUCUUUCUCUCUGGUUUGUCACCUUCAUUACAAUACCUACCUGCAUGUGAGCUACUGAGUUGCAUCUGAAAUAAUACCAUUUAUUUUUGGCUUUUGCCACGGACGCUUGGCACUAAUUUCCGUGUGUUAAAGCUGCACAGUCCUCUCAAGUUCUUGUGUGAGUUCGACCUUACCAAUACAGUCUGCUCUUCACCACACUAUUAGAAGGGCCCCCAGAUUUCAGAGACAAGUACAAAAGUGUUUCCAGCAAUCUACAAGUGCUAAAGAGAUCUCUCUUCCCAUCCCAUCUUGUUUCCGUCUUUGCUGUUGAUUCUGGUAAUGCUUACAAUCCUAAAACAAGAAAGAAAUCAGCAAUUUCCUUGGUGCCUAUUGCUCCUUUUCCUCCUUGGUCGUCCCCCGUGUCAGACAUGUUUAAUUGACAGGCAAAGGCCAAGUGUAGGUGGUUGGAUUACCGGGAGGAUAGUAGUGGUCUCACCUCUCUGUCCUCCAUUUAACAAAUCUGAG
Gallus gallus (chicken) is the source of this 9938-nucleotide long non-coding RNA. The record is from Ensembl. NCBI's taxonomy places the organism in Eukaryota, Metazoa, Chordata, Aves, Galliformes, Phasianidae.